Molecule: non-coding RNA, 26 nt
Filed under: Homo sapiens (human)
Lineage: Eukaryota; Metazoa; Chordata; Mammalia; Primates; Hominidae
Source: RNAcentral
UGAAGGUGAAUGAGGUGUCUUUUGGG